GAUGAACGCUAGCGGCAGGCUUAAUACAUGCAAGUCGUGGGGCAGCGCAGUGUAGCAAUACAUGGCGGCGACCGGCAAACGGGUGCGGAACACGUACACAACCUUCCUACAAGUGGGGAAUAGCCCAGAGAAAUUUGGAUUAAUACCCCGUAACAUAUAAAGAUGGCAUCAUUUUAUAUUAUAGCUACGGCGCUUGUUGAUGGGUGUGCGGCUGAUUAGGUAGUUGGCGGGGUAAUGGCCCACCAAGCCUGCGAUCAGUAGCUGAUGUGAGAGCAUGAUCAGCCACACGGGCACUGAGACACGGGCCCGACUCCUACGGGAGGCAGCAGUAAGGAAUAUUGGACAAUGGGCGCAAGCCUGAUCCAGCCAUGCCGCGUGAAGGAUUAAGGUCCUCUGGAGUUGCAAACUUCUUUUAUAAGGGACGAAAAAGGGAAUUC
RNAcentral lists this ribosomal RNA (437 nucleotides) under uncultured bacterium. RNAcentral's name for it is "bacterial SSU rRNA". It matches the Rfam family "Bacterial small subunit ribosomal RNA", at positions 28 to 460 of the family's 1533-position model. The record is from RNAcentral.